GAUGGGGUCGAUUAGCCAUGCUAGUUGCACGAGUUCAUACUCGUGGCGAAAAGCUCAGUAACACGUGGCCAAACUACCCUACAGAGAACGAUAACCUCGGGAAACUGAGGCUAAUAGUUCAUACGGGAGUCAUGCUGGAAUGCCGACUCCCCGAAACGCUCAGGCGCUGUAGGAUGUGGCUGCGGCCGAUUAGGUAGACGGUGGGGUAACGGCCCACCGUGCCGAUAAUCGGUACGGGUUGUGAGAGCAAGAGCCCGGAGACGGAAUCUGAGACAAGAUUCCGGGCCCUACGGGGCGCAGCAGGCGCGAAACCUUUACACUGCACGCAAGUGCGAUAAGGGGACCCCAAGUGCGAGGGCAUAUAGUCCUCGCUUUUCUCGACUGUAAGGCGGUCGAGGAAUAAGAGCUGGGCAAGACCGGUGCCAGCCGCCGCGGUAAUACCGGCAGCUCAAGUGAUGACCGAUAUUAUUGGGCCUAAAGCGUCCGUAGCCGGCCACGAAGGUUCAUCGGGAAAUCCGCCAGCUCAACUGGCGGGCGUCCGGUGAAAACCACGUGGCUUGGGACCGGAAGGCUCGAGGGGUACGUCCGGGGUAGGAGUGAAAUCCCGUAAUCCUGGACGGACCACCGAUGGCGAAAGCACCUCGAGAAGACGGAUCCGACGGUGAGGGACGAAAGCUAGGGUCUCGAACCGGAUUAGAUA
RNAcentral lists this ribosomal RNA (700 nucleotides) under Haloferax sp. S2FP20. RNAcentral's name for it is "bacterial SSU rRNA". It matches the Rfam family "Archaeal small subunit ribosomal RNA", at positions 32 to 735 of the family's 1478-position model. Lineage: Archaea; Methanobacteriati; Methanobacteriota; Halobacteria; Halobacteriales; Haloferacaceae. The record is from RNAcentral.